RNAcentral lists this ribosomal RNA (315 nucleotides) under uncultured eukaryote. RNAcentral's name for it is "partial 18S ribosomal RNA". It matches the Rfam family "Eukaryotic small subunit ribosomal RNA", at positions 1470 to 1796 of the family's 1831-position model. The record is from RNAcentral.
CCCUUAGACGUUCUGGGCCGCACGCGCGCUACACUGACCAGUGCAACAAGCAUCCGUCCUUGGCCGACAGGCCCGGGCAAUCUUUGAACGCUGGUCGUGAUGGGGAUAGACUUUUGCAAUUUUUGGUCUUCAACGAGGAAUUCCUAGUAAACGCAAGUCAUCAACUUGCAUUGAUUACGUCCCUGCCCUUUGUACACACCGCCCGUCGCACCUACCGAUUGAAUGGUCCGGUGAAGCCUCCGGAUUGGCGCGCACCUCGGUGCCGCCGAGAAGUUGGCUAAACCUUNCNAUUUAUNGGAAAGUGAANUCGUANCA